This 439-nucleotide ribosomal RNA is filed under the name uncultured bacterium. RNAcentral's name for it is "partial 16S ribosomal RNA". It matches the Rfam family "Bacterial small subunit ribosomal RNA", at positions 338 to 795 of the family's 1533-position model. The record is from RNAcentral.
CCUACGGGUGGCAGCAGUGGGGAAUAUUGCACAAUGGGGGAAACCCUGAUGCAGCAACGCCGCGUGAGUGAAGAAGUAUUCGGUAUUUAAAGCCCUAUCAGCCGGGGAGGAAAUGACCGUACCUUAGUAAGACGCCCCGGCUAACUACGUGACAGCAGCCGCGGGAAAACGGAGGGAGCAAGCGUUAUCCGGGUUUACUGGGCGUAAGGGGGGCGGAAGCGGCCUGCCAAGUUUGAUGGGAAAGGGCGGGGCUCAACCCCCGGGCUGCGUUGGAAACUGGCAGGCCUGAGUGGCGGAGAGGUAAGCGGAAUUCCUAGUGUAGCGGUGAAAUGCGUAGAUAUUAGGAGGAACACCAGUGGCGAAGGCGGCCUACUGGACGGUGACUGACGCUGAGGCUCGAAAGCGUGGGGAGCAAACAGGAUUAGAUACCCCUGUAGUC